GACGAACGCUGGCGGCGUGCUUAACACAUGCAAGUCGAACGGAAAGGCCCUGCUUUUGUGGGGUGCUCGAGUGGCGAACGGGUGAGUAACACGUGAGUAACCUGCCCUUGACUUUGGGAUAACUUCAGGAAACUGGGGCUAAUACCCGAUAGGAGCUCCUGCUGCAUGGUGGGGGUUGGUAAGUUUCGGCGGUUGGGGAUGGACUCGCGGCUUAUCAGCUUGUUGGUGGGGUAGUGGCUUACCAAGGCUUUGACGGGUAGCCGGCCUGAGAGGGUGACCGGCCACAUUGGGACUGAGAUACGGCCCAGACUCGUACGGGAGGCAGCAGUGGGGAAUAUUGCACAAUGGGCGGAAGCCUGAUGCAGCAACGCCGCGUGCGGGAUGACGGCCUUCGGGUUGUAAACCGCUUUCGCCUGUGACGAAGCGUGAGUGACGGUAAUGGGUAAAGAAGCACCGGCUAACUACGUG
RNAcentral lists this ribosomal RNA (468 nucleotides) under uncultured bacterium. RNAcentral's name for it is "partial 16S ribosomal RNA". It matches the Rfam family "Bacterial small subunit ribosomal RNA", at positions 28 to 507 of the family's 1533-position model. The record is from RNAcentral.